This is a long non-coding RNA of Artibeus jamaicensis (Jamaican fruit-eating bat), 1474 nucleotides long. RefSeq lists it as uncharacterized. The transcript is spliced from 5 exons. The record is from RefSeq and is a predicted model, not a curated record. NCBI's taxonomy places the organism in Eukaryota, Metazoa, Chordata, Mammalia, Chiroptera, Phyllostomidae.
UGGGUUGGGGGUGGAGGGCUACAACGUUGCUAGGAGACGUUUUUGUGUGACCCCAUCCUCGCGGGGGCGGCUCCGGGUCAGCGCCUCUGGCCAGUAUUAACCUGCCAGUAAGGGGAGGCCUGGUUUGGGGACGCUGGGCCGCCGGAUUGCCCCCCCUCUGAGACUGUUCUGAAUCCUUUGGAUCCCUUACUGUAAAUGGGAAAUUAGCAGGGGCAGUUCCAGAGGCGAGAAUGUUUAGCCCAGGAAGAUUGACCCAAACGGAACCCCGUACCGGCUGCAGAGAUUUUUUUUUUUUUCCCCCCCUAGGGUAGGGAGAACCGGCGUCGUAAGCCCCUCAGUCCUUUAAAGAGGGCUUCGCUCCAUGACUUUUUAUUCGAGUUCAGGAGAAAGUUAAAAAGUAGAUCAAUAGGGAAGAUAUUAGCAAGUGAGAAAUGCACCCAAAGACAGUAACACCAGGUGAAGUGGUAGAAGAUGGGGGGAGCGCCACUCUAAAUCGGGUAAGGCUGUUUCGAGAAAGCCAGGUUUUGCGGAGAUCCAAGAAAAGGGAGAACUGGCUAAAGAGGUUUCUAGGCGGAGAAAAAAGCCAGUAGGAAGUGUUCUGAGGAAGAAAAUGCAUGGCGGCCAGGUGGCUGGAACAGAGUGGUUUGUAAUGGACAAGUGGCAGGCCCAGAUCAAGCACAGCCUUUUAGCCCAAGUGCCCAGUAGGUGCAUGUGGCCAGUGGUCUCCCCCUUGAACAGCAUGCGUACAUAAUAUUUUCUGCUGGGGUCCAGCGUCCCCGAAGGAUGGAUGGUGCAGGCGACGAAUGGUAGAGGAGGAGCUGUUACUCCAUCAACUUUUAGAUUUUCAGGAAGAGGAGGAGCUGUUACUCCAUCAACUUUUAGAUUUUCAGGAGCUACUUCAUUAGGAGGGACUUUGUUCUCUGGCCAAGAAAUUAUUUUGUAUAACUUCAUUGGAAUUAUGCAGAUCAUUGGGAACUGAAAUGCAGGUGUCUAAAAAUCCCACUGCCUACUAAUCGCAAAAACAAACAUGCAAGGAGAGAUAGACAGGAAAUCCAGCCACAGUUGCUUCUGCUGUGCCGAUGCAUCUCAUCCAUCCUGACUGUGUCAAGGGACGCCUGCUGGUUGUCUCCCGACAAUUUUCAUCAUUCAAAAUGGAGCUAGAUGGUACUCUGGGUGCUCAUCAUUCCACGCAGCUGAAAGUGGACUAUCAUUGUUCCUACUCAAGGAAUUUUUGUGUGAGCCUCUCAGUUUAGCCUCUGUUUUCCCACUUUUGAAAUGAAGAUACAAAGAAUUAUGUUUCUACUUGAAGAAAAACUCUGGGCAAGCUGGUGUCCAGGACUGAGUAACAACCACUCCCGCAGCAACAGUUGCCAUACAAGAAUACGAAUGACCUCUCUACCUGAAUGAGCAUGCCAAGAGCCCAGUUAAUUCUGAUUCCCAAGUACCUGGAAGAAGGCCAGGCGGGCCAGCAUGU